UUUUUUUUUUUUUUUUUUGAGAUGGAAUCUCUCUCUGUCACCCAGGCUGGAGUGCAGUGGUGCGAUCUCGGCUCACUGCAACCUCCACCUCCCAGGUUUAAGCGAUUUUCCUGCCUCAGCCUCUCAAGUAGCUGGGUCUACAGGUAUGUGCCACCAUGCCCAGCUAAUUUUUUGCAUUUUUAGUAGAGACAGGGUUUCACCGUGUUAGCCAGGAUGUUCUCAAUCUCCUGAUCUCAUGAUCCACCCGCCUCAGCCUCCCAAAGUGUUGGGAUUAUAGGCUUGAGCCACCACGCUCGGCCAGGAAUAAAAUUAUUUUUAAGUACGAGACUUGUAUACUGAAAACACCACUGAGACAGAUUAAAGACCUAAAUAGAUGGUAGACAUUCUUUGUACAUGGAUUGGAAAACUUAAUGUUGUUCAGAUGCAAUACUGCCCAAGUGGAUCUACAGAUGCAAUGCAAUCCUUAGUAAAAUCUCAACUGGUUCUUCUGAAGAAAUGGGCAAGCUGAUUCUAAAAUUUAUACAGAAAUGCAAGGGACCCAGGUUAGCCAAAACAAUCUUGGAAAAGAAAACCAAAGCUAGGAAACUCUCACUUCUUCAUUUUUAAACUUACUGCAAACCUACUGUAAUCAAGACAGUGUGGUACUGGCAUAAGGAUAGACAUAGAGAUCAAUUGAAUAGAAAUGAGUCUAGGAGAUUAGAUUCAAGACAGCUGACUAGAUGCAGCUAAGAUGUGUCUCUUCCACAGAGAGGAACCAAAAUAUCAAGUAAACCUUCACACUUCAAAUGGAUCUUUAGAGAGAAAACACUGAAAUGUAAUAGAGAUGUGAUGGAAGACACUGUGAUUGAAGAGAAAGGAAGUGGAGUAUCCUGCUGAGUGUUGCUAGGUACCAGAACCAACCCCUAGACCCAGACUGAACCCCAGGAAGGGAUGAAUGAAGGAAACCCAGGGCACCACAUUCCCACCGUGGACCUCUGAGAUCCUAGCUAUGGGAGUUCCCAUGACUCCUGUAGAUCUUUGGAGUGGCAAGGAAUGCUGUCUGGAGAACAAGCAGAGGCACCGCUUAAACCUGCAUGGAGCCCUCAAGACUUCAGUGUGCUGGGCAGCUAUAGCAAAACAUAACUCUAGGCACCCAUCCCCUGAGGCUCUGGGUCAUGCCCUAAGUGGCUGCAGCUCCUGCCAUCUGUGGAGACCAGAAGGGAUCUGAGGCUGGGUGUGCUCAUGGGCCCAAGACAGAACCAUCACUGUCACAGGACUGAGAUGCAUCAUAUCAUGUGCCCCUCAUGCCUGCUGGUCCUCUCAAGACUACCUGCUUGUCAUUCCCACGUUGGGCAAGUGGGCACCCACAGCACAGCCUCCACUGCCCUGCCUGGAAUUGUCUGUUGGUAGCCUAGGAGCAGUUCAACACCUCCAUCACAGCUCGUGCAUGACCCUGAGUGGCCAGAGGACAAUCUGCUGGUCUGGUCCCAGUUUCCCAGGACUCGACCAUACUGCCUAGGGGUAUGAAGAUGAGACUAGUGGCCUGAUCUUUAGCAGUAGAGAAGCCCUCACUGUCAGAACACAGAGAAGAGUUUAGUGCAGGUCCCUGUCAUGGCGCAGAAGUUGGGCACCCCUCGUUUCACAAGACCUGGAAUGUGUCUGGCCUGAAAGCCUUACUUUCUGCCGCAGGGAAUUUUAUACUCUGGAAUGCCUGGAAUGGCUCAGCGAUCUGGAUAUAGAUGACUUGGAAGUAGGCUAACUGGUUGGGCCUGUCGCCAGGGCCAGACACUGAGAGGAGGAAGACCCACCAGACCAGGGUGUGGGAGCUGGGUAGGCCCCACAGCUCCCUACUGUGCUGAAAACCCCACACCACCCCUCUUCCUCUGAGCUGGCUCUGUGGCACAGGAGAGAUGCCUCUGCCCUUCCCUGGAGAGUUGUCCCCGUGGCCUGAGAGUUGCCCCAGAACUUCACCAAGGUCAGAACCUGUACCUGCUCCAGAGAGCCUGGACCAGCCUGACCCAGCAGUGUCUAGCUUUGCCGCCUCUAGCUGCCUUGGCAGCAGAGUGUGGGGAGUGACCCCUGAGAGCCACACACCCCACCCAUUGUCAGGGACACCCCAGUACUUCCCCUGUCAACAUAUCAACAAAGACCAAGUACAAAUUCCACUACCGGCUGGGCACAGUGGCUCGUAUCUGUAAUCCCAGCACUUUGGGAGGCCAAGGUGAGUGGAUCACCUGAGGUCAGAAGUUGAAGACCAGCCUGACCAAUAUGGUGAAACCCCAAAAAAUAUAAAAAUUAUAUUUUUAUAUAAUUUUUAAAAUUUUUAUAAAUUACUAAAAAUAUAAAAAUUAGGCAGGCAUGGUGGUAGCUGUAAUCCCAGCUACUUGGGAGGCUGAGGCAGGAGAAGCUACUUGGGAGGCUAAGGCAGGAGAAUUGCUUGAACCCAGGAGGCAGAGGUUGCAGUGAGCCGAGAUCCCACCACUGCACUCCAGCCUGGGUGACAGACCAAGACUCUGCCUCAAAAAAAAAAAAAGGCCAUUACCGUCACUGUAACUUCAUCUUGCCUACAAGCACCAUCUGUUGGCUGGGAGGUCAAACCCUACUGUCCAUUACAACUUCUGACAUUAGUGUACAACAGACAGCUGUCGCUCACAAGCACCACCUACUGGCACGCAUGGUGAACUGUCCAAACCAAUGUAAUUCCUGCUGACAGAGGUGCUGGAGAACAAAAUAUGUCUCCCAAGUGCUGGAGAACAAAAUAUGGCUCUCUCUAUCUUUGUUGGAAACAGUGAACCUGAUCACACAUACAGCACACUGCUACUACAACCUACAAACAACUAGCAUUUGAAAAAACCACUAUGAUAUCUAUAACCAACUAAUUCAUACAGAGCUUUGGCCCCCUAAAACUACAUAGAAGCAAAGCCAAAAGACCCUACCCAGUAUAUGCAACAGUCAUACGCUCAAAGAGAGAAGAAAAAAAAACUCACCCAAAUGAAAGUAAAUUCAAAAAUAAAAAGUGACAGUUUCUACAGAUAAGAAGGAACCACCACAAGAACUCCAGCACCAUGAAGAAACAAAAUGUUGUGAUACCCCCAAAAGACCACACCAGCUCUCCAGCAAUGGGUCCUAACCAAAAUGAAAACUUUGAAAUGACAGAUAAAUAACUUAAGGUAUGGGUUGUAAGCAAGUUCAGUGCGAUCUAAGUAAAAGUCGAAAAAUAACACAGAAAGGCAGAAAAACAGAUCAGGAGAUGAAAGAUGAGAUAGUUCUGUUUUAUUGAAAAACAGAACUUCUGGAAAUAUAAAAUACACUGAAGGAAUUUCACAAUACAAUUGAAAGUUUUAACAAGACUACACUAAACAGAAGAAAGAAUUUCAGAGCUUGAAGACCUGUCUUUCAAAUUAACACAGUUAGACAAAAAUAAAGAAAACAGAAUUUUUACAAGUGAACAAAGACUUUGAGUAAUAUGGGAUUAUGUAAAGUGAUCAAACCUACAACUUUUAGGCAUUCCUGAGGGAAAAGAAGAAAAAGAGGUUUGGAAAACGUAUUUGAGAGAAUAAUUCAGGAAAAUUUCCCUGAUCUGGCUACAGAUGUAGACAUCCAGAUUUAAGAAAUGCAAAGAAUAUUCACAAGAUACUCUACAUGACAAGUAUCAUGAAGCCAUGUAGUCAUUAGACUAUUCAAGGUCAACAUGAAAGAGCAAAUCUUAAAGGCAGCUAGACAGAAGCAUCAAAUCACUUAUAAAGGAAAUCCCAUCGGACUAACAGCAGGCUUUUCAGCAGAAACUUUAAAAAUCAGAAAAGAUUGGUGGCCUAUCUUUAACCUCCUAAAAGAAAAAAACAUGCCAAUCAAGAAUUUUAUAUCCUGCCAAACUAAGAUUCAUGAAUGAAGAAGAAACAAAGUAUUUCCCAAAUGAGCAAAUGCUAAGGGAUCUGUCACCACUAGACAGGUCCUACAAGAAAUGGUCAAAGGAGUCCUAAACAUGGAAAUGAAAAGGUGAUACUUGCCAUAAUAAAAGCACAUACAAGUAGAAAGUUCACACAUCCCAUAAAGUAAUUACACAGUUUAGACUCCAAAGCAGCUAGCUAAAAAAACUAUGACCAGAAGAAAAAAAACCUCACAUAUCAAUAUUAACCUUGAGCAUAAAUGGCCUAUAUACUCCACUUAAAAUAUAGAGAGUGGCAAAUUUGAUUUAAAAAAAAAAAACCCAACUAUCUGCUGCCUACAAGAGACCUCCCAAAUAACUAAAGACAGACUCAAGGGAGUAGAAAAAGAUAUUUCAUACAAAUGAGAAAAAAAAAAAAAGCAAGCAGAGUAGCCAUUUUUAUACUGGAUGAAGCAGACUUUUAACCAACAACAGGAAAACAAGAGAAAGGGAGUAUUAUAUAAUGAUAAAGGAUUAAAUAAAGCAAGAAGAUUUAACAAUCAUAGAUAGCACCCAACACUGGAGCACCCAGAUUCAUAAAAUAAAAACUACUAGACCUAAGAAAAGAGGCUGACAGAAACACAAAAAUAGUGGGGACUUCAACACCCUACUAGCAACACAAGACGGGUAAUCAAGUCAGAAAUUCAGCAAAGAAACUCUGGACUUAAAUUGGACUCUGGACCAAAUAGAACUAAUAGACAUUUGCAGAACAUUCUACCUAACAACCACAGAAUACACGUUUUUCUCAUCUGAGCAUGGAACAGUCUCCAAAAUUGACCAUAUGCUUGGGCCACAAAGCAAAUCUCAAUAAAUAUUAAAAAAUCAAAAUCCUAUCAAGGACCUUCUUGGACCACAGUGGAAUAAAAUUAGAAAUCAAUACUAAGACGAACUCUCAAAAAUACACAAGUACAUGGAAACUAAACAAUUUGAUCCUGAAUAAUUUUUGAGUAAAUAAUGAAAUUAAGUCAGAAAUCAAAUAUGUUUUAAAAAUGAAUGAAAACAGAGACACAACAUACCAAAACCUCUUGGAUUUAAUAAAAGCAGUGCUAAGAGAAAUUUUUAUAGCAUUAAACCCCUAUAUUAGAACUAUAGAAAGAUCUCAAAUUAACAACCUAAUAUUAUAACUCAAGGAACUAGAAAUGCAAGAACAAACCAAAUCCAAAGCUAGAAGAAGAAAAUAAAUAACAAAGAUCAAAACAGAACUAAAUGAAAUCGAGACCAAAAAAAAUGAUACAAAGGAUCAACAAAAUUAAAAGAUGGUUCUUUGAAAAGAUAAAUAAGAUCAAUAGACCACUAGCUAGUUUAACUAAGAAAAAAAGAGAGAAGAUUCAAAUAAGCACAAUCCAAAAUGAUAAGGGUACUCAAAACUGAAUAGUACCAAGCUCUGCCCCAGUUGUAGAGGUGUACAAGAUUAACAAGAUGGUGAUCCUCAGGUAAUUUGCCUUCUAUUAGGAUGGAUUUUGGAUUAAUAAAUAUAGGUAUGAUUUGUGUUUCAGAGAGGGGAAACACAGGGCAUUUUACUUGCCUAGCAGCAGUGCCUCUCUGUUCAGUUCAGGCAAUGCUUUACUAAGAGGUGUUUAAACGGAGAUCCUGCAGGGUACAGGUUACACAGGAAAAACGUGUUUCAGAAAGAGAGAAAACAGUAUAAUCGAUGAACCAGGGACAAGACAGAAUAUGCCAUUUGGGGAAAAUAAGUAAAGUCCAGUUUGGUUAAAGCCAUCUGUAUGGCCGAUAAAAAAUUAGCAUCCUUAUGAAGAAUUCUUACAAAUCAUAAGAAAAGUUUGAACAUAUCAUUGGGAACAGACAAUUCACCAAAAAAGAAAUAUAAAUAUAUAAUAAUUUUAAAAGUUCAAUCCC
RNAcentral lists this long non-coding RNA (5761 nucleotides) under Macaca fascicularis (crab-eating macaque). RNAcentral describes it as "lncRNA (ENSMFAG00000059612.1)". Lineage: Eukaryota; Metazoa; Chordata; Mammalia; Primates; Cercopithecidae. The record is from RNAcentral.